This is a long non-coding RNA of Rhagoletis zephyria (snowberry fruit fly), 188 nucleotides long. RefSeq lists it as uncharacterized. The record is from RefSeq and is a predicted model, not a curated record. Lineage: Eukaryota; Metazoa; Arthropoda; Insecta; Diptera; Tephritidae.
UGGUUUUGGAAGUUUGACUAUAAUUAUAGGACAUUGUGUUUAAUAAACUAAAUUACCAUUUAUUGCAUAAAGACCGUGUUUGCUGGGAUGACUACACUCCACGUCGAUCACUUGGGUACGCUGGACCCAACCGCAAAGAACUAUAAAUACAUACUGGCUUUAGUAGAUGGGUUUUUCAAGUAUACAUG